RNAcentral lists this ribosomal RNA (861 nucleotides) under uncultured bacterium. Its description in RNAcentral is "bacterial SSU rRNA". It matches the Rfam family "Bacterial small subunit ribosomal RNA", at positions 58 to 916 of the family's 1533-position model. The record is from RNAcentral.
CAAGUCGAACGGUAACAGGCCGCAAGGUGCUGACGAGUGGCGAACGGGUGAGUAAUGCAUCAGAACGUGCCCAGUCGUGGGGGAUAACGCAGCGAAAGCUGCGCUAAUACCGCAUACGAUCUAUGGAUGAAAGCGGGGGACCGUAAGGCCUCGCACGAUUGGAGCGGCCGAUGUCAGAUUAGGUAGUUGGUGGGGUAAAGGCUCACCAAGCCAACGAUCUGUAGCUGGUCUGAGAGGACGACCAGCCACACUAGGACUGAGACACGGCCCAGACUCCUACGGGAGGCAGCAGUGGGGAAUUUUGGACAAUGGGCGCAAGCCUGAUCCAGCAAUGCCGCGUGCAGGAAGAAGGCCUUCGGGUUGUAAACUGCUUUUGUACGGAACGAAACGGCUCUGGUUAAUACCUGGGGCUAAUGACGGUACCGUAAGAAUAAGCACCGGCUAACUACGUGCCAGCAGCCGCGGUAAUACGUAGGGUGCAAGCGUUAAUCGGAAUUACUGGGCGUAAAGCGUGCGCAGGCGGUUUUGUAAGACAGGCGUGAAAUCCCCGGGCUCAACCUGGGAAUGGCGCUUGUGACUGCAAAGCUGGAGUGCGGCAGAGGGGGAUGGAAUUCCGCGUGUAGCAGUGAAAUGCGUAGAUAUGCGGAGGAACACCGAUGGCGAAGGCAAUCCCCUGGGCCUGCACUGACGCUCAUGCACGAAAGCGUGGGGAGCAAACAGGAUUAGAUACCCUGGUAGUCCACGCCCUAAACGAUGUCAACUGGUCGUUGGGUCUCUUCUGACUCAGUAACGAAGCUAACGCGUGAAGUUGACCGCCUGGGGAGUACGGGCCGCAAGGUUGAAACUCAAAGGAAUUGACGG